AGUGAACGCUGGCGGCGUGCCUAACACAUGCAAGUCGAACGAGAACGGAUUUAAGCUUGCUUAAAUUGUCAGCUAAGUGGCGCACGGGUGAGUAAUGUAUAGUUAACCUGCCUUUAAGAAAGGGAUAACAAUUAGAAAUGAUUGCUAAUACCUUAUAUGCCUUUUAAUCAUAAGAUUGUAAAGGGAAAUGCUUUUGUGCUUAAAGAUGGGACUGUAUAGUAUCAGAUAGUUGGUGGGGUAAUGGCCUACCAAGUCAAUGACGCUUAACUGGUUUGAGAGGAUGAUCAGUCACACUGGAACUGAGACACGGUCCAGACUCCUACGGGAGGCAGCAGUGGGGAAUAUUGCACAAUGGAGGGAACUCUGAUGCAGCAACGCCGCGUGGAGGAUGACACAUUUCGGUGCGUAAACUCCUUUUAUAUAGGAAGAUAAUGACGGUACUAUAUGAAUAAGCACCGGCUAACUCCGUGCCAGCAGCCGCGGUAAUACGGAGGGUGCAAGCGUUACUCGGAAUCACUGGGCGUAAAGAGCAUGUAGGCGGAUUAAUAAGUUUGAAGUGAAAUCCUAUAGCUUAACUAUAGAACUGCUUUGAAAACUGUUAAUCUAGAAUAUGGGAGAGGUAGAUGGAAUUUCUGGUGUAGGGGUAAAAUCCGUAGAGAUCAGAAGGAAUACCGAUUGCGAAGGCGAUCUACUGGAACAUUAUUGACGCUCAAUGCGAAAGCGUGGGGAGCAAACAGG
This 738-nucleotide ribosomal RNA is filed under the name uncultured bacterium. RNAcentral describes it as "bacterial SSU rRNA". It matches the Rfam family "Bacterial small subunit ribosomal RNA", at positions 28 to 776 of the family's 1533-position model. The record is from RNAcentral.